Molecule: ribosomal RNA, 1164 nt
Filed under: Triticum aestivum (bread wheat)
Lineage: Eukaryota; Viridiplantae; Streptophyta; Magnoliopsida; Poales; Poaceae
Description: partial small subunit ribosomal RNA
Source: RNAcentral
AUGGACGCCUGUCGCCUGGUCCUCGUCCUCGGCCUCCUCGCGGCCGCCGCGCCGCUGGCCGCCGCCGACCUCGCCCCCGACUUCUACAAGGAGUCCUGCCCGGACGCCGAGAAGAUCGUCGCCGGCGUCAUCGAGAAGAAAAUGAAGGACGACCCCGGCACCGCCGCCGGCCUCCUCCGCCUCCUCUUCCACGACUGCUUCGCCAAUGGGUGCGACGCGUCCAUCCUCAUCGACCCGCUGUCCAACCAAAGCUCCGAGAAGGAGGCCGGGCCCAACAUCUCGGUCCGCGGCUACGACAUCAUCGACGAGGCCAAGAAGGAGCUGGAGGCCAAGUGCCCCAACACGGUGUCCUGCGCCGACAUCAUCUCCCUCGCCACCCGCGACUCCGUGAAACUCGCCGGCGGCCCGGACUACGCGGUUCCCACGGGCCGCCGCGACUCGCUCGUCUCCAACCGCGAGGAGUCCGACGACAACCUGCCCGGCCCGGACAUCCCCGUGCCCCAGGUCACGGCCGACUUCGUGAAGGCCGGCUUCACCGCCGAGGAGAUGGUGCUGCUGCUCGCCGGCGGCCACAGCAUCGGCAAGGUCAGGUGCAUCUUCAUCGAGCCCGACGCCUCGCCCAUGGAGGCGGGCUAUCACGCCAGCAUCAGCAAGCUCUGCGACGGGCCCAACCGGGACACGGGCUUCGUCAACAUGGACCAGUCCAACCCCAACGUCGUUGACAACUCCUUCUUCGCCAACGCCAUCGCCGAGAAGAUGCCGCUCACCCUCGACCGCCUCCUCGCCAUCGACGAGAAGACGGGGCCCCUGCUCAAGGACAUGCUCAACAAGCCCAAAGAGGACUUCGCGUCGGCAUUCGGCAAGGCCAUGGAGAAGCUCACCGUGCUCAAGGCCAUCACCGGCAAGGACGGCGAGGUCAGGAAGUUAUGCAACGAGUUCAAUAACCCCAUGUCCUCCGACGGCCCCUCGGUCAUACGGAUCAGCUCCGUCGACCCCGAGGACCUGGAUGGCUUGGCGGCUGGCAACAAGCAGCAGCAGGUGUCAAGCACCGUCUCGCAGGGGCACAAGGACGCACAGCCGGAGGCCGCCGGCGGCAAGGCGGACGGUAACGCCGAGAAGCCCCACAAGAAGGCGUCCGGCAAGCACAAGCUCCGCAGCGACUAG